This is a non-coding RNA of Acanthosepion pharaonis, 109 nucleotides long. The record is from the annotation of a GenBank genome assembly. Lineage: Eukaryota; Metazoa; Mollusca; Cephalopoda; Sepiida; Sepiidae.
AACGGCCAUAUCACGUUGAAACACCGGUUAUCGUACGAUCACCGAAGUUAAGCAAUGUCGUGUCUGUUCAGUACCUAGAUGGGUGACCGCUUGGGAAUAGAAGGUGCUG